Molecule: long non-coding RNA, 1145 nt
Organism: Wyeomyia smithii (pitcher-plant mosquito)
Lineage: Eukaryota; Metazoa; Arthropoda; Insecta; Diptera; Culicidae
Exons: 3
Source: RefSeq, a predicted model, not a curated record
GAUAAAAUAUCAACAACCCUAAUAUAUAGUGGAGAAAUAGUGAUUGAACGCUUCGGCAACUUCAUGAUUUGUUUCUUGUUGCCCUUUCUUGUCGUCCAGAGCAAGGGAAGAGACUAUAGGAAUGUGGUCACUAAUAUCGCCGAAGACAGUAUUAUUCUUAACCUUAGCAGCAAAAUCGAUCGGACAGAUGAAAUGGUCUAAUAUAUUUGAUGUUACUGGACGAGUUGGGAACGUAUUAGUACAUAUGUUCAUUGGAACAUUCACAUCAUCAACUAUGAAACAAGGUUUAGAAGGAGUAGCAGCAGAUAACCAUCCCUCUAAAAUCUCGACAAGAAAAGUAUGCGUGAUAACCUGGAAUACUGUAAAUGCAGCUAUUCUCCAAUUUAAACCAAGUUUCUCCAACAACUAUAACAUCUCUUCAUUGGUAAAAAAGUGAAAUAUUUACCGUUUUGAGGCACGCCUUUCCAAAGAUUGAGCAAAAACUUUGCACCCCGCUUUGCCGCGAAAAAUGUUCUCAUUUCUCGGUGAACCGCUGUCGUAGGUGUGAAAUGAGAUGCCAAAAAUUGACAUAGCUGCUCGUAGGUUUUCUCUGCGGGAACAAUGGGUGUACACAAAUCUCGCAACAGUUUGUACGUUCUCGCGCUGAGACAGUUGACUAAGAUCGACACUUUUUUAGUUGCCUCCACAUUAGCAGACUUGAACCAUUCUUCUAAUUGUUCCUUAAACAGUUGCCACUUGCCACAUUUCCGAAAAUUUAUCGCACUUGCCGCCAUUUUAAUUAAACAUCCUCGUAGCCAUUGUAAUAAACGUGUAUUCGGUAUGACUUUGGAAGCAAGAAUGAUUUAUUGUACUAAUAGGGUAUACAGAGUUUUUGACAGUUCUCUCCCAUUAUCCCAGGCCCCUGACAGGGUACUGAACACUUAUGGACGCUGGAAUAGUUAUGCUUGGAGCGGCAGUUAUUUUCUUUGAACUCUAUUACUAAACGGAAUUCGAAAAGUCGAUUUCCAUUAGGACCCUAGUAAAUAGCACUCAGAUGGAAUUAUGGCGUGCUGCUAUAAGCUAUGGCUUUUUAGCCGAGUUACCUGUACUGUAUCCUUUUUAUCUGUUCAAGCUUAUCACAACAAACACUAUACUUCUUACCUGUU